CUCUCCAGCCAGCGCCGCGGUAGCGGUGGUAAAAGAGUACACUGGUGUAUGCGCGGGAGUGAGAGAUCCAUUUACUGUAACGGUUGCGCGAACGGGACAGACGAAAAAGCGGUAGUAGUGCUCGGCAGAACGAUGCGUGAGAGAGAGAGAGAGAGAGAGAGAGAGAACAGGUGACGAGCUGAGCGGGAUGGAGUUACUGCGGCCGGUGUUACGACAAAGAGGCGCGCUGUUGACCAGACAAAGAUGGCGUUAGGUGAGUGACUGAGAAAGAGAGAACUGGGUGCUCCGACCGCUCGAGCGAGAAACAAAGACAUACGUGAGCGAGAAUACUAUGUGCUAGACGCAACGUGUGCUGGUCGAACGGAGAGACGAAACUCCUUCGUUGUCACGAUGAAGACUUGCCACGCGAUGGCUGUCGGUCAGAGAGAGACGACGCGAGGCAAGCGGAAUGCGCACGCAUGCGCCGCACGCGAAACUUGGCACGCGGUCGCGCCCAAACGCAUCGCCUCGCGCGAUCCUCAUAUUGAUGUACUACGCUCUUGCACUCGCGACGAACCGAUUGCGGCUGUCGCAAAUGCGAGGGGAGUCGUAGGCGCUGGACGCGGACGACGGAUCGUCCUCGUGCGCUCACGUAUCAUGUCACGUAGAACGACGUAGAUUCUUUUCGAAAUGUCGUACGUGUGAGAAGAUCACAGCUUAAUUCAUACUUUUUCGAUCGCUGUUCUUCCUUGGAAAUGCAGUAAAGCACGCGUCGUGUACAAUUAAAGUUAAAAGUGCCGUGCAAAAUUACGCGACCAUUAUGUUUUAUUACGAGCGCGAUCAAUCCGGAAAGUUAAUCGUUUUCGCGAGUGUUGUGUUGUGCAAGUGCAACUAAAAACUUCAAGAGUAGAAGGAGAGGACUCAAGAAACAUUCAGCGAUGGGGCGGAGCGCAACUAGAAGAGAACUUCGACAAUGGAUAUAUUACUAGCCAUCCGUUCUAUCUUCUACAGUAAAUAGCAACUUCCGAUUUGCAGCCAAAUAGGAGGCAAUUGUCUGGAAGGGUGGCAGAGGAUAUAGGGAUACAACUGGUAAUAAGGCAAGGCCCGGAAAUGUUAUGGUACGACCCAGGGUGAAUCAUACGAAGAGAUGGAGUGUCCGCCGAAUAUGCCUUUGUGUGUCAAAUAUUCAAACAAAAUUUUUGGGGAUAAUCAACGUGGAUGCGCUAUUGAAAACUUCUGUGAAAGAGUGAAGGACGAUCACACGUUUACAGAAUGUCAUGAAUGCAACACAGAUCUGUGUAAUAAAUAAUGCAUCCUCUAAGAAUACGAUAUCAACUAUCACAAUAUUAACCUCAGAAUUGAUUAUGCUGUUUUGCUUAAUUUAAUAAUACUUAUAAUUUUCUUAUAGUUACUUAAUCUUGUAAUUUGUAAUAUCACGGUCUUUUUAAAAAGCUCAACUCUAAAACACACCAUACGGUGGAACAAAAUCUUGCUUCUGUCAUGUUUAAUCUGUAAGUGAACAAUUUUGGUCAAUCAUAACGAUCAUUGGUUUUGACUUCAAACUUUCCUUUCCUCCACUAUCCUGAACCUUUUUCUCAUUCAGCUUUUACACAGCAAGCAAUCGAAGUUUCAUAGGGGGUCUCUAUUAGAUCCUCUAAUGUGUUAUAAAAUUAAUAUUACUAUUAAAAUUAUCUAUUUCUGUUUUUAUAAUUAACAAAUUUUUUUAAUUCUACAAUAUUGUAAUCUAUAUUAAUUAUUGUAUUAUAUGUUACGCAAAAAUACAUAUUAAAAAAAUUUCUUUAAUCUUGUUACUUGCGAUGUGGUCUUUGUUUUUGUAUAUACAAUAAAUAAACCUAUAUUUGGAUUGAUAUUCAUAAAAUAUAUUUGUUUCAUCAAAAAUAAAUAAUAAAUAUAUAAACCAAUUUUAACUAAUAUUUACACACACACG
RNA transcript from Solenopsis invicta (red fire ant), 1927 nucleotides. RefSeq lists it as uncharacterized. Lineage: Eukaryota; Metazoa; Arthropoda; Insecta; Hymenoptera; Formicidae. The transcript is spliced from 5 exons. The record is from RefSeq and is a predicted model, not a curated record.